AUUUUUGUCUUUUCUUGGUUAAAGUUACUUAAACUGUGUUUUCUUUUUGAACCAAUCAG
RNAcentral lists this small RNA (59 nucleotides) under Arabidopsis thaliana (thale cress). Its description in RNAcentral is "ATSL073160". The record is from RNAcentral. Lineage: Eukaryota; Viridiplantae; Streptophyta; Magnoliopsida; Brassicales; Brassicaceae.